GGAAAGGCCUCUUCGGAGGUACUCGAGUGGCGAACGGGUGAGUAACACGUGGGCAAUCUGCCCUGCACUUCGGGAUAAGCCUGGGAAACUGGGUCUAAUACCGGAUAGGACCUUAAGACGCAUGUCUUUUGGUGGAAAGCUUUUGCGGUGUGGGAUGGGCCCGCGGCCUAUCAGCUUGUUGGUGGGGUGACGGCCUACCAAGGCGACGACGGGUAGCCGGCCUGAGAGGGUGUCCGGCCACACUGGGACUGAGAUACGGCCCAGACUCCUACGGGAGGCAGCAGUGGGGAAUAUUGCACAAUGGGCGCAAGCCUGAUGCAGCGACGCCGCGUGGGGGAUGACGGCCUUCGGGUUGUAAACCUCUUUCACCAUCGACGAAGGUCCGGGUUUUCCCGGAUUGACGGUAGGGG
This 410-nucleotide ribosomal RNA is filed under the name bacterium Ellin5035. Its description in RNAcentral is "bacterial SSU rRNA". It matches the Rfam family "Bacterial small subunit ribosomal RNA", at positions 68 to 481 of the family's 1533-position model. Lineage: Bacteria; Bacillati; Actinomycetota; Actinomycetes; Mycobacteriales; Mycobacteriaceae. The record is from RNAcentral.